GUGCACCAGGCGCGAAACCUUCGCAGUGCGGGAAACCGCGACGAGGGGACUCCCAGUGCCUACGCUCAGCGUAGGCUGUUCCCGAGCCUAGAAAGCUCGGGGAGUAAGGGCUGGGUAAGACGGGUGCCAGCCGCCGCGGUAAUACCCGCAGCCCGAGUGGUGGCCACUAUUAUUGGGCCUAAAGCGUCCGUAGCCGGCCCGGUAAAUGCCUGGGUAAAUCGUGAGGCCUAACCUCACGAAUUCCGGGUAGACUGCCGGGCUAGGGACCGGAGGAGGGAGAGGGGUACUCCAGGGGUAGGGGUGGAAAUCCUGUAAUCCCUGGAGGACCACCGGUGGCGAAGGCGCUCUCCUAGGACGGGUCCGACGGUGAGGGACGAAAGCCAGGGGAGCGAACCGGAUUAGAUACCCGUGUAGU
This 415-nucleotide ribosomal RNA is filed under the name uncultured microorganism. Its description in RNAcentral is "bacterial SSU rRNA". It matches the Rfam family "Archaeal small subunit ribosomal RNA", at positions 330 to 745 of the family's 1478-position model. The record is from RNAcentral.